RNAcentral lists this transfer RNA (69 nucleotides) under Agrilinae sp. 1 ACP-2013. Its description in RNAcentral is "tRNA-Ala". The record is from RNAcentral. Lineage: Eukaryota; Metazoa; Arthropoda; Insecta; Coleoptera; Buprestidae.
UAGGAUAAUAGUUAUCUUAAAUAACAUCUAAUUUGCAUUUAGAAAGUGCUAAAAUUAUAUAGCUUAUCU